CAACACCACAUAUUAGUGGACAGAGUGAGGCAUGGAGGAGGCUCUUACACCUCCGUUCUCUGUUCGUUGUCUGGGGCGGGGGGGCAGGAGGAGGAGCUGGCCUUCUGGUCAGGGUCUGGGCUGGUGGGCCUCCCCGCUGCUGUGGGUCUGCUUGUUUCCACCUCAGAGUAAAAGGGACCAUCUCCUGGCCCCUUCAAGGAGUGCUGUACAGUAUGUUUGAGGAGUGUGAGUGUGUGUAAUGUGCUCAGUACUGUGUGUUUCCAUGUUGAGUCAGUGCUGAGUAUUUGCAUAUGUGUGCAUGAGGGUGGGAAUGCAUGUUUGUGUCUGUGUGUGCCUGUUUGUUUUACGUGAGGGUUCCUGAUGGUUAGGGACAAAUGCAAUCGCAUGGCAGGAUGCUGUAAACGGACCAAACUUCAGUCAGGAGAACAACUGAGAUAAUCCAUCCACAAUACGAGUUGCCUACGUUUCUCUUCAUACCUCGCCUACCUGCAGCUUAGGAUCCUGGAUACUGAUCUCCACUGCAGUUAUCGUUUGAUGGCAAUUCAGGCCUCUCCAGUUUUGCACCAUUCGCCAUCUCUACCUGCCUACCCUCCUGCCAUCGUCUCUCGCAGAUCACCGGAAAGAGAAAAGUUGGAAUCAUUCCUCUCAUCCACACUCUGGACCUCACCUGGCCAUCCACCUCCACUGAGGUGUGUUUUGCUUCACCCGCAAGUAAGUUUGGACCCAUUCGUCAAGAACUUCUCCAUAGUGUAGUCAUCUAGUUCUCCAUGUAGCAGUAAAAUAAAUUCUCUGAAACUUUUGCCUUCCCUGUUUGAAUAUGCUCUUGGGUCCAAAUCCUUGCACCAGCCUCCAGGUCCCCAUGACAGUUCCAGCUUUAAGUAGACAACCUAAUUGCUGAUGAACAGCAGGUGAGUCAGAACAGCUGACUGCUGACAGGUGACUAGCCAACAGGAAGGCACAACAACAAACAGAGAGAGCAAGGAAAAGACAAAAGGAGAGAAAGGUGGGACAGCGCGAGAGACUCUGGGACCAUAACACUACUAGUAAAGUUUUAACUACAUUUUAAUUUUUGUUAUUGCAGUGUUUGGCACAAUUUAUAGGAAAUUUCAAUGUUUUUAUGCAUGCAAAUAUUCUUCAUUGUUUAUAAAAAGCCUCAAAUUAAGUAAUAUGACAAAUAUCUUUGUUAUUUUUUGUUAUUUAACUUUAUUAUGAUUAUAACAAAUACUGUAUAUUUAUUUUCUACCUAAUUUAACUGUGUGUCUUUUAUUGCGUGCUUUUUAUCUGUUUUGUUAUUUAUAUUUCUUGCACAGUAGGAGCACCCACAAUUUUGUUGCAUAUGUACAAUGACAAUGAAGAGCCAUUCUAUUCUAGUCUAUUACUGAGAUGCCCCACCUACCUACUGUUUUCUUUUUUCCAUCUUUUUCCUUCUUACAGCCUUCCAUCACCCAUUCAUUUUUUCUAUGCUGUAGAUAUAACUUAUUUAACAUGUCUUGAAAUACAAGUGGACUGUAGUUCUCCUCACAGGCAGCUUUUCAUUAACUGCAUUAAGUACAAUUAUCCAGGCUUCACCUUUCAGAACUAUCUAAAAGCAUGCUUUGCUUAAAUGUAACUCAGUAGCUUGGAAGAAUGUUUGUUUUAUUUUUUUGUUUUUUUUUUCCAUGCACAAGUAAUAUCACAUCUAUUGUGCAACUUUCAAAAAAUUGAAAAGCUGUCAUGUUAUGAUAAAAUAAAAGGAAGAAAAUAAACAUGUAUGAACAGAAAUAGGUGCCAACAUACAGUACCAGAAUCCAGUACCAGGAUCUCCAGCACUUUAGCCUUAAUUUCAACAGUAGAUAAUUCAAUAUGGAUUCACAACUAAAGUGCUUUAACCACUUUGUGUCCGAUGUAAAACACACUAAAAGCCAGACUCUGUAUUUUCAUCAUAGACUUGCAUGAGUAUAACCAGGAACCUCACACCAAUUUCCCAGCACACUAAUGUAAUGUCAUCUCACAGCAAAGGUUUUAGGUUUAAACCUGCUGGCCAUCUCAGGCCUUUAUAUUUGGAUUUUGCAAGUUCUCCUUAUCCCUGUGUGGGUUUCCUGCAGGUACUCUGGUUUACUCCCACAACUGUAAGAGGUGUGGGAGUAAGCAUGUUAGGUCAGCUGGGGAUUCUAAAUCGACGAUAAAUGUUAGACUGUGUUUGUAAUGUAAUGUAUUCACAUUUAUAUACUGUGGCCAAAGAGACCUUACUGUCUCUCUGUGUUAUCCCUGUGAUAGAUAACCAACAUUUAUAUGGCAACAAAUUUUGACAUAUGGAGUACGUGGCAGGUUAUCCAGUCUGACACAAACUACAAGAAGAACACCAACAGCUCUGAGAUCAGAGAUGCUGCCCUGAACAGUUUCUAUGCAAGUUUCCAGCUCAACACCAUGGGGAGCACAGCAGGUGACCCCCAUAAGACAAUGGGUUCUGACAAAGUGUCACCAAUAUUCUAAAGGCCUGAGCUGAAAAGUUAGGAUGUGUAUGCAUAGACAACUUCAAUCAGUCUCUAAGAGUCACAGAAGUCCCACACGCAUUAAAAGAAUCCAUCAUCACUCCUUUGUCAUCGUUCCCAAAAACAAACAGACUCAUCCACCAUGCAAUGACAGGCCAUGAAGGGCUUUGUUGACCCAGACACUGUUGACCCUCAACAUUUUGCCACUUUCAUCAUCAAGUAUGUUGAUGACACAAUCAUCCUGGGCCUCAUAAGGGUAAGGAUGAGGGACAUUAUGUCCCUAGCAGUUCUCAGGUAAUAGUCCUAUACAAACAUCAGAAAAAGUGUACCCAUUCCCUUAAAAUAUUCCAAUGACUAAUUUAGAAUUCCUGAUUAAUCUUGACCAUAAUCAUCAACCACAACCUAAAUCUAAUCUCACCCUAAAAUUGAAUCAAUUCUUCAAAGAUGUAAAUUAUGGGGAUUUUUUUUUCCACAAAAUGGAGGCUGGUCACUGCACUGACCAGUAGCAAUACAAGUCAGCAUGUUUUUCACUUUUUGUUUUCUCUUAAAGCAAUAAUGUAUAAAGGAUUGGACAAAAGUGUUUAUUAUUACUGUUUUCUACGGUAGUACAACACUGAACAUUUAAAUAGCACUUCUGUGUUCUGGUGGCCAUGCUUAGUAAAGCGCUGAGUAAAGCGCUAUACAAAUGCAGGCCAUUUGCCAUGCUUAGUAAGCAAAGAAAUAGUCUUUGGUCUCAUCAGCCAAAGCCCUACACACAUCACAGUUCCUACUCCAUGCUUCACAGUGGAAACUACGUAGAAAUCAUUUCCAUAAAUUCUCUGUUAAAGACAGCUAAAACCAAAAAUCUCUUUGGCUCAAUGGACUGGUGUUUUUUGCGACUGCACAUACUGAAAAAUAAAUGUUCCCGACUGAUCUUGUCUUGUAGUUGUUAUGGUUUGUGAUGGACUGAGCAGUAAAGGACAGUCAGGCACUAAGGCUCUAAAUCUUGGCCAAUAAAAGAGGUCAGAAACUCAAAAACUGGCAACAAAACAACACUGACUCAAACAAGCUGACCUUUCAAAAGGAGACAAAGGGGAAACUUAAAUACUGGCUGAUCAGCCCACAAAGACACUAACAUAGCAAAUCUCAUUUUCCCCCAUGAUCCAGAGUUGUGGUAUGACAACAGGUCUCCAUGUAGGCUUGCUCCACCCUUUUCCCCCGUCUUAGCUCAUCAGCCAAGAUGAGCAAAGAAAAAGAUUAACUCAAGUUAUACAUAUAACAGUGUUAACUAAAAUGCAAUUAUUUUAGAAUACAGUAUUAUGUGACUGUAUGAAUAAAUUAAUUCUACACCAAAAAUAAUUCUCUAUUACUGUAAAUUAAAUCCUUUAUUUAAAGAAAGCUAAAUAUACAGUUUUAGAACACCGCAAUUUUUCCAGUGUUUUUUAUUGAAAAUUAUGCAGUUUAAUGUCUCAUUGUACAAAAAAAGCAAUUGGACUUAAAAAUAAAUCAUGAAAUCAAUUUAUGGACCAAAAUGAACCAAAACUUUGACUCAUCAGUAGCCACCUUUGGCAGAUAUAACAGCUGAACACACCUGUGGCUUCUUUCUACAAUAGAAAUCAAAUCUGUAGCAGAAGUUCCCAUAAAUGUGGACCUUGUAGGUUGCUUUGCUUUCACUCUUCUGUCCAGUUCAUCCCAAACCAGCUUGAUGGGGUUUAAGUCUGGAGACUGUGCUGGACACUCCAUGUUUUCAAGCUCACCAUCUUGUUCUUUUUCCUGAGGUAGUUCUGACACAGCUUGGACUUGUGUUUUGGGUCACUGUAGGAACCAACUAGGAAUAACUAGCCUCAUACCAGAGGGUACUGCAUGCAGAAUGCUGUGGUAGCUGUUUUGUUUCAGGAAGCAAUGUUCCCUCUAAGCUGCGCGCGUGCGCAAUUGCACACUGCUGGCACGGUCUCUGCGCACAGAAAAUCUGCGUUGCACACACAAAAAAAAUCUAACCUGAAUUGAAAUUAAAAUUAAAACUUUAACAAUUCUGUUUUGCAUUGUUAGUCAGUAAGUGACUGGCUGCUCCCGUAUGGGAUUAGAACGAUGCCACCUUAUCCCAUAGUCCAGCCAAUAAUGCGAUUCACAUUCGUAUAUACGCAGCUAAUCAACGUGGUUGACAGGCUAUGACAGCGUCCUUAUGUGCCGACACCGGUGUUUUAGCUAGCAAAGCGGCGUGGCUGAUGUGGAGUGAAGCCACGUUAAUGACAACGUGUACAACCAUUGGAGAUGUGAGCAGGACAGACGGAACAGCUGACGGAACAAGUGUGGACUUUAUACCAGUUUUUAAAUUGUGUUGAUCGGCCACGUAAAACCAGAGUUAUGAUAAAAAUAUCUGCAAUGUUUGGUUUUCUUCCUGAAUACUAUCGUUGUUUAUAUUUACUGCGGGAAGAAACGGUAAAAACGGCGUUUUAUAAGGAAAACGCUCGAAAGCACUCUCCACCUGUGAGCAAAAACAAAACCAAAAACCCCCCAGCCUUUCCUAUUGGUGGAAAAAUUUACCAUGUCGACCAAUCAAAAAAUGAUAUGGCAACAUGGCAUUUAGUUGUUUAGGAAGGAGGAAGUUUUAGGAGUGACGGCGGUGUUUUGAGAUGUGAGAGAUUUGCGACGUUUAGCACAAAUCUUGUGUAGUUAGUGUGUAGUUAGUGUGUAGUGUAGUCAGUAGUUUUGUUGUGUGUGUCAGAACAAUGAGGCGACUGCUGAAUGUUACAGGUGUUACAGGAGUGAUACAUCUCCUGUUGUCAGGCCUGCAGGUAUCAGGCUGUUGUUCUCCUUUAUCUCAUAGUGGACACAAAUUAUUUUUGGAGUGGCACAAAUAAUUUGUGUGGCAUCAGAUUUGAUGCAGAACAGCUGAUUGUUCUGUAAAUAGUUUGAAAUGUUUAUUUAAAAAAACACCUUGGCUGCAUUUUUAGGUAAACAGCUGCAAAAAACUUUGUUUGCAAAACUCAGUUACUUUUUUGAAGAAGUAACUAUAUAAUUAAUUGCCCAACAUUGGUCUUUAUAUACUGUAUUUUGCAGACAGAGAGUUACAGGACUCUCUCCCAGACCACAGACUCAUAAUACAAGUCAGAGCUUUAUAAAAAAAAGAAAGUUGUGUUUUCAAAAUUGGAGUUCAAGUUAUUUUUACUUCCAAUAGUGUUAACAUACUACACAGGUCAUGAACAAGAUUUUUUUUUUUCAUUGUAAGUGGGUUAAAGCACUUAAUUAAAAGUAGUCUAACAUAAAUGUAAAUGCUGUAAUUUGAUUAUUUUAAUAAACCAUGUAACUUGGAUGGAUUGGAUGCUGGCGUGACCACAGUGCUAGUGACGUGUCGGUCGCGAAUGAAACGGCCCUUAGAGUCGGAUCUUUGAGGUGAACGACGCGAGCCGUGGAUUUUUUUUCCUUCUCUCACCCUCUCUCUUGCACUUUUUUUCCGCUUCACUCCGCACGCGAGCCUUGUGCUUUGCGCUGGGCAGAGGGGGGAGGGGCGGUAGUUACACUCAGUAGCACAGGAACAGAGCGGGAGGGAGAGAGAGAGAAAGAGAGCCAGGGACAACAACGUCACAUUAGAAAGGUAUAGUAAUCAUCCACAACUAUUUUCAGUUGCGGAUGAUAAAGGAUUCAGAAAGUUUAUUCAUGCAGGCCCAUAUGACAGAGAAUAUGCAUCUUCUUUUUGUUUUCAUAUUUUAAUUUAUAUUUAAUUGUGUUGUGGUUUGUAGUGUUUUGUGUUGUUUCACUUUAAAUUUGUUUAAAAGGAAAAAGCUGAAAAUUUAAAUAGUUAAAAGUUGAAAUGUGAAUAGUUGGUUUUUGUAUUAUAUGAUUUAUUUAUUACAUUUUAUGUGGAGUGAAUAAAUAAAAGUAUAUUUACGGUGGCCCCUAGAGACAAAGCACGCGCAAACUUCAAAACACGUAAAAACUCAAAACAUGUACAAAACACAACAGAAGUGCUCCAGGAUGCUAGGCCCAGUGUUGAGCUUUUGUUACCUAGUGGCUACACAAGCCAGGAAGUACCAACAACCGGAUUUGGUGUGUGGUAGUAACAGGUAAAUGAACAUUUUUUUUAAUUAUUUGAAUAUAUAUGAGUGCUUGUGUAUAAAUACACAAACAAUACACAUAUGCUUUCAAUUGUGUAAUUUAAGUGAUCUAGGUAGCUCUGUUUGGAAUUUCAGUUAACACUAGCAAUGUGUUUUGGAGUUUGUACGUGCUUUGUCUCUAGGGGCCACCGCAUAUAUUUAUAUAUAAACAUAUAUAAAUACAACCACUUCUUUUUUUACAUUAGUAAUUCCUUUUGAGCAUAAUUUUAUAUUGUUGUUAAUAAUAAAUUAAUUAAAGCAACAAAACAACCUGAAGAGCCGGUUAGGAGCCGAAUGAGCCGGUUCUCUAAAAAGAGCCGAAAUCCCACACGUCUGCUGUUGCUCACAGUGGUCCAAGGGAAAGAGUCCAACAAAGAUCCUUCGUGAUGAACCGAAGGUUUCAAACUUUGAUCCAUCAGUCCAUAAUAGCUUCUUCCAGUCUUCAGUAGUCCAGUGUCGGUGUUUCAUGGCCCAGACAAGCCUCUUUGUCUUAUUCUGACGUCUGGCUUUCUUACUGCAACUCGUCCUGUCAAACCUGCAGCUUGAAGUUUUCUCUUCACAGCUGAAACUGAGACUUUCUCACUACGACCACUAUUAAACUGCUUGAAGCUGUUGUCCUGUGAGCCGCCUAUCACACAGCUGUUAACUCUCAGAAACUUGUCCUCUGAUUCAGUCGUGUCUUUGGGUCUGUCAGUAAUCCAGAAAUGUUGGAACACCUGUAGGAAUUAGUAGCAGCAGCUUACAAGGCUUGAUCAACCUCCAUUGCUGCAGAACUGCUUUAAACUGUUAACCAUGUUGUCCCUGAAAAAGGCCUUUUGUAUAAUUCUGAAAUAUACAUUAUUUUUCAGUUUUGGCUAACCUUACCUUUUUUUCACAACUUACCUUUGUAUCAUUCAAGCUAUUUAUUGGACUUGAAUGAUUUGAAUUGGAAUAAAUAAUUGAAAAUAUUGGGGUGUUCAAAACUUGAUCACUAGUGUAAGUGUAGUGCUAUGUAUAAGUCUCUAUUGUUGCACUGUGAUGUUUGGUAGAUAUUACCCAAUAUGUGUGGCUGUAACUGCAGCCAUCACAUGACUUUAGGUUUCCUUUCAGGCACCAUAUGCUUCUUUUUUAAAUCACCUUUCUCCUUUUACUUUACUUACCUGUACAUUUGACAUUAAGGUCACUUUGUCAUUUGCCAUGCUUGUGUUUGAUUGGUAAAUCGCCCACCCAAAGACUAACUUCUCUUUGUUUUCCAGUGGUCAUAUUUUCAAGUCAUUUCAUGUUUUCCUGAAAGUUCUUUGUGUUGCUACGCCCGAAUUUCUAGUUAGCUUUUUUCCUUUGAAUAUCUUAAGCUGUGU
This is a long non-coding RNA of Pelmatolapia mariae (spotted tilapia), 7881 nucleotides long. RefSeq lists it as uncharacterized. The record is from RefSeq and is a predicted model, not a curated record. The transcript is spliced from 3 exons. NCBI's taxonomy places the organism in Eukaryota, Metazoa, Chordata, Actinopteri, Cichliformes, Cichlidae.